AAGGUCUUCGGAUUGUAAAGCACUUUAAGUUGGGAGGAAGGGCAGUAAGUUAAUACCUUGCUGUUUUGACGUUACCGACAGAAUAAGCACCGGCUAACUCUGUGCCAGCAGCCGCGGUAAUACAGAGGGUGCAAGCGUUAAUCGGAAUUACUGGGCGUAAAGCGCGCGUAGGUGGUUCGUUAAGUUGGAUGUGAAAGCCCCGGGCUCAACCUGGGAACU
This 219-nucleotide ribosomal RNA is filed under the name uncultured Pseudomonas sp. RNAcentral's name for it is "partial 16S ribosomal RNA". It matches the Rfam family "Bacterial small subunit ribosomal RNA", at positions 411 to 622 of the family's 1533-position model. Lineage: Bacteria; Pseudomonadati; Pseudomonadota; Gammaproteobacteria; Pseudomonadales; Pseudomonadaceae. The record is from RNAcentral.